This is an RNA transcript of Lathyrus oleraceus (garden pea), 3368 nucleotides long. It is a transcript of the gene named probable splicing factor 3A subunit 1, with no coding region annotated. NCBI's taxonomy places the organism in Eukaryota, Viridiplantae, Streptophyta, Magnoliopsida, Fabales, Fabaceae. The record is from RefSeq and is a predicted model, not a curated record. The transcript has 5 exons.
UUAUUUUUUCUUGUAGUUCGAAGCUGAUUUUUAAAGUGAAAAUCGCUUAAACAGCUGCAAUUAAAAAAAAAACACAAAACCCUAAAACAUACUCCAAAGAAAACCUAAAACAACAAAAUUCAUCAUCUCCGCUAAAUCCCAUCUUGCAUAUCAGAAUCAAUUUGAAACCCAAGUGCUCUCAGUCAAAUCUCACCGGAAAACGCAUGCCGAGUUCGUCGUCGACCGCCACAAGAAGGUUUUAAGGAAUUAACGUCAUCAUGCUAGGUUCAUUACCUAUACUGCCUCUACCAGCUCCUCCUAUCGAUGGAAAUCUCGGUCCUCUCCCCGAUGCUCAACUCACUCAGGAGGAGGUAGAGGAGAGGAAUGAGAGAUCCAGCAUCCAGGAAGUAGCACCGACAUCAGUUGCCACACACACUAGAACUAUUGGAAUAAUUCACCCUCCUCCGGAUAUUAGAACCAUUGUUGAUAAAACCUCUCAGUUUGUCGCUAAAAACGGUAUUGAUUUCGAGAAGAGAAUUGUUGCUAAUAAUGCAGGGAAUGCUAAGUUUAAUUUUCUCAAUUCAUCGGAUCCUUAUCAUGCGUAUUAUCAGCAUAGACUGACUGAGUUUCGCGCCCAGAAUCAGUCUUCUACUCAACUACCUGGGGAUUUGGCUUUACCGGAAUCAGCUACACCUGCGCCGGCUACUGAUAGUAAUAGUAACGAUGUGGUAAUGACUGAGAAGCCUGAUGUAUCUGCCCAGUUUAGACCAGUAAGGAAAGUACUUGAUCCUCCUGAGGCUGAGCAGUAUACAGUUAGGCUUCCUGAAGGAAUUACAGGGGAAGAGCUUGAUAUAAUAAAGCUUACAGCACAAUUUGUGGCUCGAAAUGGGAAAUCUUUUUUGACAGGAUUGACAAGUAGGGAAAUUAAUAAUCCUCAAUUUCAUUUCAUGAAACCAACCCAUAGCAUGUUUACAUUUUUCACUUCCCUUGCCGAUGCGUAUUCAAAGGUUUUGAUGCCUCCGAAGGGUUUGACGGAGAAACUGAAGAAGAGUGUUCCGGAUAUGACUACUGUGCUUGAAAGGUGUGUCAAUAGGUUGGAAUGGGAGCGGUCACAAGAGCAAGCCAGGCAAAAGGCUGAAGAUGAGAUAGAGCAAGAAAGAAUACAAAUGGCCAUGAUUGAUUGGCAUGAUUUUGUGGUGGUUGAAUCAAUAGAUUUUGCUGAUGAUGAGGAUGAAGAAUUACCUCCUCCAAUGACCCUUGAGGAAGUUAUAAGGAGAAGCAAGAUUACGCCUAUGGAAGAAGAUAUUGUUGAGCCAGGAAAGGAAGUGGAAAUGGAAAUGGACGAAGAAGAGGCCCAGCUUGUUGAAGAGGGAAUGAGAGCUGCUAGCUUGGAAGACAAUGAUGAAGUGAAGAAGAAUGAAGUCAGGGUUACCGAGGAUCCUGAACCACCAAUGAGGAUUGUGAAGAACUGGAAGAGACCAGAAGACAGGCUUCCUGCAGAUAAAGAUUCAACCAAAUUUGUUGUUUCUCCUAUCACUGGUGAACUGAUUCCUAUUAGUGAAAUGUCAGAGCAUAUGCGAAUUUCUCUCAUUGAUCCCAAGUACAAAGAACAAAAAGAAAGAAUGUUUGCCAAAAUUCGGGAAACCACUUUGGCACAGGAUGAUGAAAUCUCAAGAAACAUUGUUGGACUUGCUCGGACCCGUCCUGAUAUUUUUGGUACUACUGAGGAAGAGGUUUCUAACGCCGUCAAAGCUGAAAUUGAGAAGAAAAAUGAUGAGCAACCUAAGCAGGUUAUUUGGGAUGGUCACAGUGGUAGUAUCGGCCGCACUGCAAACCAAGCAAUGUCACAGAAUAUUGGGAUUGAGGAUCAAAACGAUGCUUCUAAUAAUGAAUUUAAAAACCUCCCUGGUCCUGCUGCACCUCCUCCAAGACCCGGUAUGCCUUCAAUUCGUCCUCUUCCGCCACCACCUGGACUAGCUUUAAAUCUACCCCGUGGUCCUAUGAAUAACAUGCAGUUUUCUAAUCCUAACAACAGUGGCUUUCCAAUGCCUCCCCCAAGACCACCAGGCAUGCACAUGAUGCAAUCUCUCCGACCAGCUCCCCCUCCUCCAAUGCAAAUGUCCUCUGGACAGCAUUCCAUGAUGGGUGGUCAACCACACCCAAUGCAUCCAUCAAUCCCUAUGAAUAACCAAGGAAUUCCUAUUCCUCCACCACCUGGAUCUCAAUUCACUCCUAUUCCUGUUCCACGACCUUAUGUUCCUCUCUCUCAUCCUCCAUCAGGGAUGCCUAUGAUGCAUCCACCACCUCCGCCUCAAGGAUUACCACCACCUCCACCACCCGAGGAAGCUCCUCCCCCACUUCCAGAGGAACCAGAACCCAAGAGGCAGAAGCAUGAUGAUUCUGCUCUGAUCCCCGAGGAUAAAUUUCUGGCUCAACAUCCGGGACCUGCUCGUAUUAGUAUAUCGGUUCCUAAUGUUGAUGAAGGAAAUCUCAAAGGACAAGUUCUGGAAAUAACUGUGCAAUCUCUGUCUGAAACUGUUGGCGGCCUGAAAGAAAAAAUUGCUGGGGAGAUCCAACUCCCUGCUAACAAGCAGAAACUGAGUGGAAAGCCGGGCUUUCUCAAGGACAAUUUGUCUCUCGCACAUUACAAUCUUAGUGGAGGAGAAACACUCUCCCUUGCAUUGAGAGAGCGUGGUGGUAGAAAGAGAUGAGCAUAUUACGUGCAUCACUGUUCUAGAAGAUUUUUGCUCCUUGGCGCUUGUCUCUUGAGGGAUAUGAAAUAAUACAUGGACUUGUGGGAAGGCUCUGCAGCUUUGCCUGAUGUGUCUUUGAAUGGGACAAGGAAGGUAGAAUGGCCUGCAAUAUUUUCUCCAAUUAUUAUUAACUCUAAUCUUCUUAUUGAGAUCAUUUGCUUUAAUGUGUGAGUUUUGUUUUGAUGACUGUUUGUGCAUGCCAACUUAUUGUACAAUGGAGCAGGUUUUGUAUUUUAGGGAAAGCACCACCUGAUCACACCUUCGUUUUUCCGGGGGGAUAUCUCGUGAAUCUUACCGUUGUAAAUCCCCUUAUGUAGAUGAUUUACUUAGUAAAUCCUCUUCUGCUAUGUUGGUGUCUUGUUUGAAUUGAUGAAGAUGGAAAUGUGUCUGGUUUGAAAUAUAAUUUUUGCUUUGCUUGAUGAAAAACUUUCAUGCUUUGCACUUGAUUCAUUACAUGAAAGUUGAAUAUAACUUUCCUGAAUCAAAGUUUGAUUAUUAUAGUAACAUAUACACCACACAAACGUUUGAAAGCAUGUUCUUCUUUCCACUCUAACACAUUGUUCUUCUGUAAAACAAUGUGACUGACAAGAACUGAAUAUUCCACCCAUUCUGAGACUUAUCUUUUUAAAUGUCUUC